AGAGUUUGAUCCUGGCUCAGGACUAACGCUGGCGGCGUGCCUAACACAUGCAAGUCGAGCGGACACCAAUUUGUAGCAAUACAGAUGAAGUGUUAGCGGCAGACGGGUGAGUAACACGUAGUCAACCUAUCUUUUCGUCCGGGAUAACUAGCCGAAAGGUUAGCUAAUACCUGAUACGAUCGCUCAUCGGCAUCGGAGAG
This 200-nucleotide ribosomal RNA is filed under the name uncultured bacterium. Its description in RNAcentral is "partial 16S ribosomal RNA". It matches the Rfam family "Bacterial small subunit ribosomal RNA", at positions 8 to 197 of the family's 1533-position model. The record is from RNAcentral.